CAUAGCUUAACGAGGCGAACCGGGAGAACUGAAACAUCUAAGUACCCCGAGGAAAAGAAAUCAACCGAGAUUCCGUUAGUAGCGGCGAGCGAACGCGGAGCAGCCCAGAGUCUGAAUCAGUGGAUGCGUUAGUGGAACGGAUUGGAAAGUCCGGCGAUACAGGGUGAUAGCCCCGUACACGAAGACGCAUUGCUGUGAGCUCGAUGAGUAGGACGGGACACGUGGUAUCCUGUUUGAAGAUGGGGGGACCAUCCUCCAAGGCUAAAUACUCCUGACUGACCGAUAGCGAACCAGUACCGUGAGGGAAAGGCGAAAAGAACCCCUGUGAGGGGAGUGAAAUAGAACCUGAAACCGUGUACGUACAAGCAGUGGGAGCACCUUCGUGGUGUGACUGCGUACCUUUUGUAUAAUGGGUCAGCGACUUACAUUUUGUAGCGAGGUUAACCGAAUAGGGGAGCCGUAGGGAAACCGAGUCUUAACUGGGCGAAUUAGUUGCAAGGUGUAGACCCGAAACCCGGUGAUCUAGCCAUGGGCAGGUUGAAGGUUGGGUAACACUAACUGGAGGACCGAACCGACUAAUGUUGAAAAAUUAGCGGAUGACUUGUGGCUGGGGGUGAAAGGCCAAUCAAACCGGGAGAUAGCUGGUUCUCCCCGAAAGCUAUUUAGGUAGCGCCUCGGACGAACACCUACGGGGGUAGAGCACUGUUAAGGCUAGGGGGUCAUCCCGACUUACCAACCCUUUGCAAACUCCGAAUACCGUAGAGUGCUAUCCGGGAGACACACGGCGGGUGCUAACGUCCGUCGUGAAGAGGGAAACAACCCAGACCGCCAGCUAAGGUCCCAAAGUCAUGGUUAAGUGGGAAACGAUGUGGGAAGGCUUAGACAGCUAGGAUGUUGGCUUAGAAGCAGCCAUCAUUUAAAGAAAGCGUAAUAGCUCACUAGUCGAGUCGGCCUGCGCGGAAGAUGUAACGGGGCUAAACCAUGCACCGAAGCUGCGGCAAUGACA
RNAcentral lists this ribosomal RNA (1006 nucleotides) under Plesiomonas shigelloides. Its description in RNAcentral is "partial 23S ribosomal RNA". It matches the Rfam family "Bacterial large subunit ribosomal RNA", at positions 165 to 1213 of the family's 2925-position model. Lineage: Bacteria; Pseudomonadati; Pseudomonadota; Gammaproteobacteria; Enterobacterales; Enterobacteriaceae. The record is from RNAcentral.